UGGAGCAUGUGGUUUAAUUCGAAGCAACGCGAAAGAACCUUACCAGGUCUUGACAUCCCGAUGCUAUUUCUAGAGAUAGAAAGUUACUUCGGUACAUCGGUGACAGGUGGUGCAUGGUUGUCGUCAGCUCGUGUCGUGAGAUGUUGGGUUAAGUCCCGCAACGAGCGCAACCCCUAUUGUUAGUUGCCAUCAUUCAGUUGGGCACUCUAGCGAGACUGCCGGUAAUAAACCGGAGGAAGUGGGGAUGACGUCAAAUCAUCAUGCCCCUUAUGACCUGGGCUACACACGUGCUACAAUGGUUGGUACAACGAGUUGCGAGUCGGUGACGGCGAGCUAAUCUCUUAAAGCCAAUCUCAGUUCGGAUUGUAGGCUGCAACUCGCCUACAUGAAGUCGGAAUCGCUAGUAAUCGCGGAUCAGCACGCCGCGGUGAAUACGUUCCCGGGCCUU
Molecule: ribosomal RNA, 448 nt
Filed under: uncultured Streptococcus sp.
Lineage: Bacteria; Bacillati; Bacillota; Bacilli; Lactobacillales; Streptococcaceae
Description: bacterial SSU rRNA
Rfam family: Bacterial small subunit ribosomal RNA
Source: RNAcentral